GUACAAGCAGGCAAUGACCUUGUAGAAAGUAUAAACAAACUGCACAGUUCAUAGGGGUAAUCCAGGACCCCGUCACAACAGCUCCAGACGGAGGUGUCUGAAUAUUCCAGAGGACAGCGGACUGCUUCCGCGUCCUACGGCUCUGCAACA
Mobula hypostoma (lesser devil ray) is the source of this 150-nucleotide long non-coding RNA. RefSeq lists it as uncharacterized. The record is from RefSeq and is a predicted model, not a curated record. Lineage: Eukaryota; Metazoa; Chordata; Chondrichthyes; Myliobatiformes; Myliobatidae. The transcript has 3 exons.